This 943-nucleotide non-coding RNA is filed under the name Oostethus brachyurus (short-tailed pipefish). RNAcentral describes it as "12S ribosomal RNA". It matches the Rfam family "Bacterial small subunit ribosomal RNA". Lineage: Eukaryota; Metazoa; Chordata; Actinopteri; Syngnathiformes; Syngnathidae. The record is from RNAcentral.
CAAAGGUUUGGUCCUAACUUUACUGUCGACUAUAGCUAAAAUUACACAUGCAAGUAUCUGCCCUCCUGUGAGGAUGCCCUCAAAGCUCUUAUGAGAUCGAGGAGCUGGUAUCAGGCACACUUAGGUGGCCCAUAACACCUUGCUUAGCCACACCCCCAAGGGAAUUCAGCAGUGAUUAAUAUUAAGCAAUAAGUGAAAACUUGACUUAGUUAAAGCUAAAAGAGUCGGUAAAAUUCGUGCCAGCCACCGCGGUUAUACGAAAGACUCAAGCUGACAGCCAUCGGCGUAAAGAGUGGUUAGGAAUAUACUAAACUAAAGCCGAAUGUAUUCUUAGCUGUUCAACGCAUUCGAAAAUAAGAAGCUCAGUAACGAAAGUAGCUUUAAAUUUCUGACCCCACGAAAGCUAUGAAGCAAACUGGGAUUAGAUACCCCACUAUGCAUAGCAGUAAACACAGAUAAGUACAUACUUCUAUUAUCCGCCAGGGUACUACAAGCAUAAGCUCAAAACCCAAAGGACCUGGCGGUGCUUUAUAACCCCCUAGAGGAGCCUGUUCUAGAACUGAUAAUCCCCACUCAACCUCACCCCUUCUUGCCAAUACCGCCUAUAUACCGCCGUCGUCAGCUUACCUUAUUGAAAGCCUAAUAGUGAGCAAAAUUGGUAAACCCCUAAACGUCAGGUCGAGGUGUAGUAAAUGAAGGGGGAAGAAAUGGGCUACAUUCGUUGAUUAACGAAUAACGGACAACAUGUUGAAAUUACAUAUUUAAAGGAGGAUUUAGUAGUAAGAAGAAAGUAGAAUAUUCUUCUGAAAUUGGCCCUAAAGCACGCACACACCGCCCGUCACUCUCCCCUAGCACAAAUAAACCAUUAAAUAAAUAGUUACACAGCCAAAGGGGAGGCAAGUCGUAACAUGGUAAGUGUACCGGAAGGUGCACUUGGAGUAAU